AUUGAACGCUGGCGGCAUGCCUUACACAUGCAAGUCGAACGGCAGCAUGAUCUAGCUUGCUCGAUUGAUGGCGAGUGGCGAACGGGUGAGUAAUACAUCGGAACGUGCCCUGUAGUGGGGGAUAACUAGUCGAAAGAUUAGCUAAUACCGCAUACGACCUGAGGGUGAAAGUGGGGGACCGCAAGGCCUCAUGCUAUAGGAGCGGCCGAUGUCUGAUUAGCUAGUUGGUGAGGUAAAGGCUCACCAAGGCGACGAUCAGUAGCUGGUCUGAGAGGACGAUCAGCCACACUGGGACUGAGACACGGCCCAGACUCCUACGGGAGGCAGCAGUGGGGAAUUUUGGACAAUGGGCGAAAGCCUGAUCCAGCAAUGCCGCGUGUGUGAAGAAGGCCUUCGGGUUGUAAAGCACUUUUGUCCGGAAAGAAAUGGCUCUGGUUAAUACCUGGGGUCGAUGACGGUACCGGAAGAAUAAGGACCGGCUAACUACGU
This 489-nucleotide ribosomal RNA is filed under the name uncultured bacterium. RNAcentral's name for it is "partial 16S ribosomal RNA". It matches the Rfam family "Bacterial small subunit ribosomal RNA", at positions 30 to 506 of the family's 1533-position model. The record is from RNAcentral.